UACAGAGGGUGCAAGCGUUGUUCGGAAUCACUGGGCGUAAAGAGUUCGUAGGUGGACUUAUUAGUAUAGGGUUAAAUACCGGGGCCUAACUCCGGACCUGCUCUGUAAACGGUAAGUCUAGAGUACUAGAGAGGAUAGUGGAAUUCCAGGUGUAGAGGUGAAAUUCGUAGAUAUCUGGAGGAACAUCUGAGGCGAAGGCGACUAUCUGGCUAGGCACUGACACUAAAGAACGAAAGCAUGGGUAGCAAACAGG
Molecule: ribosomal RNA, 253 nt
Filed under: uncultured bacterium
Lineage: Bacteria
Description: partial 16S ribosomal RNA
Rfam family: Bacterial small subunit ribosomal RNA
Source: RNAcentral